This 305-nucleotide unclassified non-coding RNA is filed under the name soil metagenome. RNAcentral's name for it is "partial contains small subunit ribosomal RNA, internal transcribed spacer 1, and 5.8S ribosomal RNA". The record is from RNAcentral.
UUUCCGUAGGUGAACCUGCGGAAGGAUCAUUGACAAAAGUGGUGCUUUACGCACCUAGUGUCGCCAAAAAAAAAUGGCAACGAACGACAUCGGGAAAGGCUCGUACUUUCCUCGUCGCUGUCCGCGGUGGGCGGCCGGGCGGGUAGUCCCCCGGCAACCGCCGCUUCUCUUUUUCCUCUACAUUUUCCGCGUUUGGUUGGUUUGGCUGAUGAACAGAGGGCUACCUGGCGCUCGCGCUUUUGCGCUGCCAGGGCGUGCCCGAUUUGAACUUGACACAACUUUUAACAAUGGAUCUCUUGGCUCUC